UUUAGAGGAAGUAAAAGUCGUAACAAGGUCUCCGUUGGUGAACCAGCGGAGGGAUCAUUACCGAGUUAUACAACUCAUCAACCCUGUGAACAUACCUAAAACGUUGCUUCGGCGGGAACAGACGGCCCUGUAACAACGGGCCGCCCCCGCCAGAGGACCCCUAACUCUGUUUUUAUAAUGUUUUUCUGAGUAAACAAGCAAAUAAAUUAAAACUUUCAACAACGGAUCUCUUGGCUCUGGCAUCGAUGAAGAACGCAGCGAAAUGCGAUAAGUAAUGUGAAUUGCAGAAUUCAGUGAAUCAUCGAAUCUUUGAACGCACAUUGCGCCCGCCAGUAUUCUGGCGGGCAUGCCUGUUCGAGCGUCAUUACAACCCUCAGGCCCCCGGGCCUGGCGUUGGGGAUCGGCGGAAGCCCCCUGUGGGCACACGCCGUCCCUCAAAUACAGUGGCGGUCCCGCCGCAGCUUCCAUUGCGUAGUAGCUAACACCUCGCAACUGGAGAGCGGCGCGGCCAUGCCGUAAAACACCCAACUUCUGAAUGUUGACCUCGAAUCAGGUCG
RNAcentral lists this ribosomal RNA (557 nucleotides) under Fusarium oxysporum. RNAcentral's name for it is "eukaryotic LSU rRNA". The stretch from base 211 to 364 matches the Rfam family "5.8S ribosomal RNA". Lineage: Eukaryota; Fungi; Ascomycota; Sordariomycetes; Hypocreales; Nectriaceae. The record is from RNAcentral.